AAACAGUCCUCCCCCCCCACUCUCUAUAGACAUCAGCCGUUGUGUCACACCUGCGCAAUUUUCAACAAUCAAAUCCAACUAUUUAAAAAAAUCAUUCCUUAAUUGUUAGGCUCGAAACAAAACGGUGUGUGUGCUGUUUCUCUCUACCGUCUGAUGCCAGAGGGCAGUCGGCACACGUUCGAACGAACGAACCCAAAAGGCAAAAAAAAAACUGUCGGAGAACUCCUGGCAUCUUUGUGGAGGAGAGUCUUGACCUUGCCUCCUCUCUCUCCCCUUAUAACACACACACACACAAACUGGCUUCCUCCAAAGCUUUUGCCCAUCACACACACACACUCCUAUCUUUGGGAUUCCUGUGUUUGGGUAGAGGACACACGGAGAGAGAGAGAGAGAUGAAAAAGAGUGUCUGUUUGGUUUCACGAUUGUGUUUCGGUCGAAAUUGGGUCUGCUUUUUCCGCAAUAGUAAAGAGAGAGAGAGAGAGAAUAAAGAAAACGAGAUGUUUUUGCUUGUUUCAUUUUUCAAAUUUUUUUUCCUUUUCUGGAGGAGACGCACUGUACAACAACAUUAUCGUAUAUAAAGUAGGAAGAUGUGUCUUGAAUUUGGAGGACGAGAGAAAUGAAAAACAAAUGUCGAAGAGAGAAACAAUUCAAAAAAAACAAAAGACAAAUCGUGUCUGUGUGUGUGUGUGUGUGUGUGUGUACAGCAGCAGAAAAUAUGACAAACAAUUUUUCAUUUUCAUGUUAAUUUUGUUUUUUUGUUUUCAAUAAAAAUCGAUCGUUAUUCCUUAUACGAGUCAUUUCGAAAUUUUUUUUUUUUAAAUGGCGGGAAAUGAGAAGAUGUUUAAAAAAAAAGGGGGGAAAUUAAAUUUUUUUUUAGUUGUUUUUUUAAAUUUUUUCGUAUUUUAUACCAGCAACAAACAAUGAAAGUAGGGAGAGAUUGAUAUAAAAAAAGGCCUGGGUCCGGGGUCACACACACACACACACACACAGUUUUUUUUCUUUACAUGUAUGUGUCUCUCUCGCUGUCCGUGUGUGUGUGUGUGUGUGUAAAAAUUUUUUUUUUUCUUUUUCAUUUUUUUUUUUUUUUGUAGGAAAGAGCAGGAAAAUUAUGGAACAAACAGUGAAACAACAGCAGCGACGAAAACAGUAGGGAAUUAUUAUUAAUUAUUUUUUUUUUUUGGAUA
Molecule: long non-coding RNA, 1184 nt
Organism: Daphnia magna
Lineage: Eukaryota; Metazoa; Arthropoda; Branchiopoda; Diplostraca; Daphniidae
Exons: 2
Source: RefSeq, a predicted model, not a curated record